Molecule: small RNA, 118 nt
Filed under: Mycolicibacterium gilvum Spyr1
Lineage: Bacteria; Bacillati; Actinomycetota; Actinomycetes; Mycobacteriales; Mycobacteriaceae
Description: Mycobacterium sp. Spyr1 Actinobacteria sRNA Ms_IGR-7
Rfam family: Actinobacteria sRNA Ms_IGR-7
Source: Rfam by way of RNAcentral
CGGAAGUGCCUUUCUGAACUGGCCUGAUUGAUGCGUAGAGAACACCAAUCCUCCCAGCUCAAGGGGCACUUUCCUCAUUCCGACACCCCACGACCAACCAAUUUAUCGGUGGAUCGAG